Molecule: ribosomal RNA, 433 nt
Filed under: uncultured bacterium
Lineage: Bacteria
Description: partial 16S ribosomal RNA
Rfam family: Bacterial small subunit ribosomal RNA
Source: RNAcentral
AACGAACGCUGGCGGCAUGCCUAACACAUGCAAGUCGAACGAGACCUUCGGGUCUAGUGGCGCACGGGUGCGUAACGCGUGGGAACCUGCCCUUAGGUUCGGAAUAACUCCCCGAAAGGGGUGCUAAUACCGGAUAAUGUCUCCGGACCAAAGAUUUAUCGCCUUUGGAUGGGCCCGCGUUGGAUUAGCUAGUUGGUAGGGUAAAAGCCUACCAAGGCGACGAUCCAUAGCUGGUCUGAGAGGAUGAUCAGCCACACUGGGACUGAGACACGGCCCAGACUCCUACGGGAGGCAGCAGUGGGGAAUAUUGGACAAUGGGCGAAAGCCUGAUCCAGCAAUGCCGCGUGAAUGAUGAAGGCCUUAGGGUUGUAAAGCUCUUUUACCCGGGAUGAUAAUGACAGUACCGGGAGAAUAAGCUCCGGCUAACUCCGUG